CCUACGGGGGGCAGCAGUGGGGAAUAUUGGGCAAUGGGGGAAACCCUGACCCAGCAACGCCGCGUGAAGGAAGAAGGUCUUCGGAUCGUAAACUUCUAUCCUUGGUGAAGAUAAUGACGGUAGCAGAGAAGGAAGCCCCGGCUAACUACGUGCCAGCAGCCGCGGUAAUACGUAGGGGGCAAGCGUUGUCCGGAAUGAUUGGGCGUAAAGGGCGCGUAGGCGGCCUGGUAAGUCUGGAGUGAAAGUCCUGCUUUUAAUGUGGGAACUGCUUUGGAUACUGCUUGGCUUGAGUGCAGGAGAGGUAAGUGGAAUUCCCGGUGUAGCGGUGAAAUGCGUAGAGAUCGGGAGGAACACCAGUGGCGAAGGCGACUUACUGGACUGUAACUGACGCUGAGGCGCGAAAGUGUGGGGAGCAAACAGGAUUAGAUACCCCUGUAGUCACC
This 443-nucleotide ribosomal RNA is filed under the name uncultured Eubacteriales bacterium. RNAcentral describes it as "bacterial SSU rRNA". It matches the Rfam family "Bacterial small subunit ribosomal RNA", at positions 338 to 798 of the family's 1533-position model. Lineage: Bacteria; Bacillati; Bacillota; Clostridia; Eubacteriales. The record is from RNAcentral.